AUGCUCCUCCAAAAGGCCCGCGCCCCCCCCCCCUUUUCACAGUCCUUAUAUCACCGAGUUCUUCCGGGGUUACGUAGCCCCCUUCCUGGUACUGCGGCUGCGUCAAUUGUUGCUAGGGGGUCGUCUCCGGUCCCUCUGGUGGUCGCACGGUUGAAGGCAGUAGUUUUCCUCUGCUUGGCUUUCACAGAAGGCAACAAGCUACAAAAUGUAUGUCACGUGCAACAAGAGGUAUAAAUGACAAAAGCAAGACAAACAAAAGCACCCGAACCAGUGGAAUAAACAAAAGUAUCUACAUAGAGUGGGCAAGUAUCCAAAAACUGAAAAAUCCAUCUGUCCGUUUUUAAGAAAUGGCUAGAGAUUGUCAUUGCUU
Molecule: long non-coding RNA, 370 nt
Filed under: Anser brachyrhynchus (Pink-footed goose)
Lineage: Eukaryota; Metazoa; Chordata; Aves; Anseriformes; Anatidae
Description: lncRNA (ENSABRG00000020945.1)
Source: RNAcentral